Molecule: long non-coding RNA, 816 nt
Organism: Cyanistes caeruleus (blue tit)
Lineage: Eukaryota; Metazoa; Chordata; Aves; Passeriformes; Paridae
Source: RefSeq, a predicted model, not a curated record
GUUGCACACUCGUGGACCUAUCUGCAAUGCUGGUGUUCUGACAAGAUGCAAAGCAGUAGGUUUGGGGAGCACAGAGCAUCUCUGAAAAGAGGUGCCUGAAGGGCUACAGAAGCACAGCAGAACUAGAACAACUUUCUCUGAACUGGUGGCUCGCCGUUUGCAAGGAUCUGCAAAGUCCAACUUGGAGAAAUCGAGACCCCUGACUAUGCAGGUGCAGCUUGGUGCAGGCAGCAGAUGGGACCCCAGCACUUCUGGGGACGCCGAGUCCAGAGCCUGCAAGGUGUUGUAGCUUCUGGAUGCAGGGACCAGGAUCAGCCCAUGUGAGCACUAAACCCCACAACCUUGUGGUACAGGUCUGCUUGUCCAGGAGCCAUGACUCUCCCUCCUGCUGUGCAGUAGUGCUGCCUGUGCUGUUUAACAAGUCCAACUGCAUGCUCUGAGGGCUAGAAACCAGCCUCGCUUCUUGGUGCAGAUGGCUCCCAGGAUCCUUGCCCAACCCAACUGUUCUUCGGUCAGGGGCAAACACUGGUGCGAGAACAGUGUUGUGUGAACAGUGAGUCAGUUAUUAUAUGUAAGUUCAUGGUGCUGUGGAGAGUAAUUUCAAAAUAUGAAACCAGUGCAGACUCUGGAGAAGGCACACAUCUGUGGUCACAUCCCUCUUAAACCAAAUGACUGUUCAAGUGCAGCAUGCUUGACUGUGGUACCAUAGUGCUGUGAGAAGGGAGAGAGAGAGGGCUUAGGUAUCCCUGAUCAUCUUCAUCACUGCCAAUUCAGCCUCUUCGUCUACACAUAAGGGCCUGCAGGGUCAGGCACCAG